UACGUAGGGUGCGAGCGUUAAUCGGAAUUACUGGGCGUAAAGCGCGCGUAGGCGGCUUUGCAAGUCGGGUGUGAAAUCCCCAGGCUCAACCUGGGAACUGCAUUCGAGACUGCAUUGCUAGAGUAUGGGAGAGGGAAGUGGAAUUUCCGGUGUAGCGGUGAAAUGCGUAGAUAUCGGAAGGAACAUCAGUGGCGAAAGCGACUUCCUGGACCAAUACUGACGCUCAUGUGCGAAAGCGUGGGGAGCAAACAGG
Molecule: ribosomal RNA, 253 nt
Filed under: uncultured bacterium
Lineage: Bacteria
Description: partial 16S ribosomal RNA
Rfam family: Bacterial small subunit ribosomal RNA
Source: RNAcentral